Non-coding RNA from Hordeum vulgare subsp. vulgare (domesticated barley), 125 nucleotides. The record is from Rfam. NCBI's taxonomy places the organism in Eukaryota, Viridiplantae, Streptophyta, Magnoliopsida, Poales, Poaceae.
AAUAUACUCCCUUCGUUCGGAAUUACUUGUCGCAAAAAUGGAUAGAAAUGAAUGUAUCUAGAACUAAAAUACAUCUAGAUACAUCGAUUCUUCGGACAAGUAUUUCCGGACAGAGGGAGUAUAUU